RNAcentral lists this ribosomal RNA (478 nucleotides) under uncultured bacterium. RNAcentral describes it as "partial 16S ribosomal RNA". It matches the Rfam family "Bacterial small subunit ribosomal RNA", at positions 28 to 507 of the family's 1533-position model. The record is from RNAcentral.
GACGAACGCUGGUGGCGUGCUUAACACAUGCAAGUCGAACGGGAUUUAGUAAACAGAAGCCUCGGUGGAAGAUUACUAAUGAGAGUGGCGAACGGGUGAGUAACGCGUGAGCAACCUGCCUAUGACAGUGGGAUAGCCUCGGGAAACCGGGAUUAAUACCGCAUAAAAUCGUAGAAACACAUGUUUUAACGGUCAAAGAUUUAUCGGUCAUAGAUGGGCUCGCGUCUGAUUAGCUAGUUGGUGAGAUAACAGCCCACCAAGGCGACGAUCAGUAGCCGGUCUGAGAAGAUGAACGGCCACAUUGGAACUGAGACACGGUCCAAACUCCUACGGGAGGCAGCAGUGGGGAAUAUUGCACAAUGGGGGAAACCCUGAUGCAGCGACGCCGCGUGAACGAAGAAGGUAUUCGUAUCGUAAAGUUCUGUCCUAUGGGAAGAUAACGACAGUACCAUAGAAGAAAGCUCCGGCUAAAUACGUG